This 23-nucleotide microRNA is filed under the name Caenorhabditis brenneri. RNAcentral describes it as "cbn-miR-7624". The record is from miRBase by way of RNAcentral. Lineage: Eukaryota; Metazoa; Nematoda; Chromadorea; Rhabditida; Rhabditidae.
AGAGGUGAUUAAAUGUGUUCUGA